CAUGCAAACACAGGGACACAGAGAGAUCCAGCACCUGGUUAUGGUGACCACCCCAACUCAACUAAGUUCUGUGAAUAUCCAGAAACACAAGAUGAAACAAAACAAAGAGCCCUGUUGGGUCCACUGUGUUCAGAAACCUGCUUUCAUCAGUGACCAUUCUGAGAUCUAUAAAGGAGAUUUCUAAAGGCUGUGUCUACAUCAAGCGGUCUGGACCAGAAUCAUCAGAAUAUCAGCACAGUAGAAGACCUAAGCCCACACUCCUUUGGACAUGAAAGAAUACUGAAUGACAGUCUUCAACAAUUUCAAGGCACUAGGACAAUGGUCAACAACCCGGCACCCACUAGGGUUAUGGCACCCAUGAAGGUUGUUAUUAGACAGCAACAGUGUGUGUGCUUGAUAUCCAUAAACAGGAGCAGUAGGACAUAGUUGACUUCCCAUGGCAAGUGCAAGGUUGCUGGGGGUGGUUGUCUCUCUAACUCUGUGUUAUGCCAUGCUCCCUGUGGCAGCCAAUUUAUGUUACACCACACCUGCUUCAUGGCAGUCAUUUUGUGACUGGUGCCCCCAGCACCCUCUCAACUGUGCCCACUAGUCCAAAAUGGUUGGUGACCUUUGUGCUAGGGAGCCAGUGUUCUAAUAUGGAGGUGUGCAGCAGAAUAUAUACUUACACAUAUGGGUAUACAUGUAUCUGCAACAGAGGAUAAAAUGCAACGCACCUAACGAAGUAAAAUACAGUCCAUGCAAGCUUGUGCCACAAUAAAUUUGUUAGUCUUUAUGACU
This is a long non-coding RNA of Podarcis raffonei (Aeolian wall lizard), 777 nucleotides long. RefSeq lists it as uncharacterized. The transcript has 3 exons. Lineage: Eukaryota; Metazoa; Chordata; Lepidosauria; Squamata; Lacertidae. The record is from RefSeq and is a predicted model, not a curated record.